Long non-coding RNA from Pezoporus occidentalis (night parrot), 576 nucleotides. RefSeq lists it as uncharacterized. The transcript is spliced from 2 exons. NCBI's taxonomy places the organism in Eukaryota, Metazoa, Chordata, Aves, Psittaciformes, Psittacidae. The record is from RefSeq and is a predicted model, not a curated record.
AGCAAGCAGAGAUACAGCCCUGGAGACACAGUGAGCCAGAGCAUUACUCAGAAAUGGAGACAGCUGCAGCUGAAGACUUGGCUGGAAAGUAGCAAGACUUACUGGUGACAGGGGCUGGAGUUGGUGCCUCACAAUCAACUACUAAGAGUGUUGUGGAGAGAAGACCUAAAGAAAGAUUAUAAGAGUUCCCUGCAGCAGAGAGCACAUACUCCUUGUCACCAAAAAGCAGAUGCUGCAUGAACAGAGGCUAGAGAAGCCAUCUGUGUACCUUGCUGUGAUGCUUCUGCCUUCAGGCUAGAAGAACCACUUCUAGGAGUGAGAAGAUUUAGUCACCUUGCCCUAUUGUGUCCUUCCCCACCUGAUGCAGCAGCUAAAGAGGAUGCUAAUUUUGCACAAGCCUUGAAUUUCAUCAUCUGACCUUUUAUUUAGCAAGGGCAGGACAGCCCAUCACGCCCACAGCCAAACAAGCCUCAGGAAGAGAGGCUGACAUCAGACAGCAAGAUAAAACCCCUGACUGCAGCCCUAGCCUUCAAAGCUAUUUGGCCCCUUUGCCCUUUAAUAAAUCUUUAACCCAAA